RNAcentral lists this ribosomal RNA (1613 nucleotides) under Clostridium perfringens. RNAcentral's name for it is "partial 23S ribosomal RNA". It matches the Rfam family "Bacterial large subunit ribosomal RNA", at positions 1240 to 2863 of the family's 2925-position model. Lineage: Bacteria; Bacillati; Bacillota; Clostridia; Eubacteriales; Clostridiaceae. The record is from RNAcentral.
CGUAACCGGGCUGAAGUCGUACCGUAAGGAGCGGUGGACUGGUUACGAGUGAGAAUGUUGGCAUCAGUAGCGAGAUGUGGGUGAGAAUCCCACAGGCCGAAAACCUAAGGUUUCCUCAGGAAGGUUCGUCCGCUGAGGGUUAGUCGGGACCUAAGCCGAGGCCGAAAGGCGUAGGUGAUGGACAACUGGUUGAUAUUCCAGUACCACUACCAUCGUUAUUAUCGAUGGCGUGACGCAGGAGGAUAGUGUGUGCUAGCUAUUGGAUGCUAGUCUAAGCGUUUAGGCAGUGAGAGUAGGCAAAUCCGCUCUCAUAAUGCUGAGGCGUGAUGGGGAAGGUUCCACGGAACCGAAGUACAUGAUUCCACGCUGCCAAGAAAAGCGUCUAGAGAGAGAAGUAGUGCCCGUACCGCAAACCGACACAGGUAGGUGAGGAGAGAAUCCUAAGGCCGGCGGAAGAAUUACAGUUAAGGAACUCGGCAAAUUGACCCCGUAAGUUCGCGAGAAGGGGUGCCUACGAGAGUAGGCCGCAGAGAAUAGGCCCAAGCAACUGUUUAGCAAAAACACAGGUCUCUGCUAAAGCGUAAGCUGAUGUAUAGGGGCUGACGCCUGCCCGGUGCUGGAAGGUUAAGGGGAACACUUAGCGCAAGCGAAGGUGUGAACUUAAGCCCCAGUAAACGGCGGCCGUAACUAUAACGGUCCUAAGGUAGCGAAAUUCCUUGUCAGGUAAGUUCUGACCCGCACGAAUGGCGUAAUGACUUGGGCACUGUCUCAACUGUAAAUCCGGCGAAGUUGUAGUGCGAGUGAAGAUGCUCGCUACCCGCGAUUGGACGGAAAGACCCCGUAGAGCUUUACUGUAGCUUAGCAUUGAGUUUUGGUAUUGUCUGUACAGGAUAGGUGGGAGACUAGGAAACCAGGGCGUCAGCCUUGGUGGAGUCAACCUUGGGAUACCACCCUGACAGUACUGAAAUUCUAACUGGCGGCCAUGAAUCUGGUCACAGGACAUUGUUAGGUGGGCAGUUUGACUGGGGCGGUCGCCUCCUAAAAAGUAACGGAGGCGCCCAAAGGUUCCCUCAGAACGGUCGGAAAUCGUUCGAAGAGUGCAAAGGCAGAAGGGAGCCUGACUGCGACACCCACAAGUGGAGCAGGGACGAAAGUCGGGCUUAGUGAUCCGGUGGUACCUCGUGGGAGGGCCAUCGCUCAACGGAUAAAAGCUACCUCGGGGAUAACAGGCUGAUCUCCCCCAAGAGUCCACAUCGACGGGGAGGUUUGGCACCUCGAUGUCGGCUCGUCGCAUCCUGGGGCUGAAGUAGGUCCCAAGGGUUGGGCUGUUCGCCCAUUAAAGCGGCACGCGAGCUGGGUUCAGAACGUCGUGAGACAGUUCGGUCCCUAUCCGUCGCGGGCGUAGGAAAUUUGAGAGGAGCUGUCCUUAGUACGAGAGGACCGGGAUGGACUGACCUCUGGUGUACCAGUUGUUCCGCCAGGAGCACAGCUGGGUAGCUAAGUCGGGAAUGGAUAAACGCUGAAAGCAUCUAAGCGUGAAGCCAACCUCAAGAUGAGAUUUCCCAUAGCGUAAGCUAGUAAGAUCCCUUGAAGAACACAAGGUUGAUAGGUCG